UGUAUAAGAGACAGUGAGUCAUCGAAUCUUUGAACGCACAUUGCGCCCUUUGGUAUUCCUUAGGGCAUGCCUGUUCGAGCGUCAUUUAAACCUUCAAGCUCAGCUUGGUGAUGGGUGACUGUCCUCCCCUCGCGGGGGGACUCGCCUCAAAAACAUUGGCGGCCGGUACAUUGGCUUCGAGCGCAGCAGAAACGCGGUCUCGAGCCCGGUGGAUCGGCUCCCAUAAGUCUAUUCUUUUAUUUUGACCUCGGAUCAGGUAGGGAUACCCGCUGAACUUAAGCAUAUCAAUAAGCGGAGGAC
This 300-nucleotide unclassified non-coding RNA is filed under the name uncultured Preussia. RNAcentral describes it as "sequence contains 5.8S rRNA gene, ITS2". The stretch from base 1 to 84 matches the Rfam family "5.8S ribosomal RNA", at positions 66 to 154 of the family's 154-position model. The record is from RNAcentral. Lineage: Eukaryota; Fungi; Ascomycota; Dothideomycetes; Pleosporales; Sporormiaceae.